This 775-nucleotide ribosomal RNA is filed under the name uncultured Neocallimastigales. RNAcentral's name for it is "partial large subunit ribosomal RNA". It matches the Rfam family "Eukaryotic large subunit ribosomal RNA", at positions 23 to 639 of the family's 3401-position model. Lineage: Eukaryota; Fungi; Neocallimastigomycota; Neocallimastigomycetes; Neocallimastigales. The record is from RNAcentral.
AGAGAGAGACAUGCGCGCAUAUCAAUAAGCGGAGGAAAAGAAACUAACUAGGAUUCCCUCAGUAACGGCGAGUGAAGCGGGAAGAGCUCAAAUUUGAAAUCUCCAAGGUUCUACCUUGACGAAUUGUAGUUUAAAGAAGUGUUUUCUGUUGGAGUUUUGGUAAAAGUUCUUUGGAAUAGGACAUCAUAGAGGGUGAGAAUCCCGUAUUUGACCAUUACUUUCACUUUGUGAUACACUUUCAAAGAGUCGGAUUGUUUGGGAAUGCAGUCCAAAAUGGGUGGUAAAUUUCAUCUAAAGCUAAAUAUUGGCGAGAGACCGAUAGCGAACAAGUACCGUGAGGGAAAGAUGAAAAGAACUUUGAAAAGAGAGUUAAACAGUACGUGAAAUUGUCAAAAGGGAAGCGUUUGACACCAGUGUUGUUUUCUCGAAAAUCAAUUAAAAAAGGCAGGAUUUUGUGUUGUAUUGACUUUAUCAGCUUUCUGCACUCUUUUCUUGUCUUUUUUAAUGCACUUUUCGUUUAACAAGUCAACAUCAAUUUCCUUUGUUGUAAAAGGGUCAUUGGAAGGUGGCUUUCUUUUCGGAGAAAGUGUUUAUAGCCUCUUGGCCUAUGCAGUCGGAGAGAUUGAGGUCUGCAACGUAGAUCCUUCGGGGCUAGAUACAUUUGUGCUAAGUUAUAGCAUUUUAUAGACAACUUGUUGACUAUGAUUAGUCAUUGUAGCUUACUCGCUUAUGCUAUUUUACCUACGCUUAGGAUGUUGAUGUGAUACUGCGAGCA